This 253-nucleotide ribosomal RNA is filed under the name uncultured bacterium. RNAcentral's name for it is "partial 16S ribosomal RNA". It matches the Rfam family "Bacterial small subunit ribosomal RNA", at positions 524 to 776 of the family's 1533-position model. The record is from RNAcentral.
UACAUAGGGUGCGAGCGUUAAUCGGAAUUACUGGGAGUAAAGCGUGCGCAGGCGGCUUUGCAAGACAGAUGUGAAAUCCCCGGGCUCAACCUGGGAACUGCAUUUGUGACUGCAAGGCUAGAGUACGGCAGAGGGGGAUGGAAUUCCGCGUGUAGCAGUGAAAUGCGUAGAUAUGCGGAGGAACACCAAUGGCGAAGGCAAUCCCCUGGGCCUGUACUGACGCUCAUGCACGAAAGCAUGGGGAGCAAACAGG